AAAAUUGAACCUCACUGUGAGGAGAUAUUUACAUUGGCUUCACCCUCACAGAAGACCUAUCUGAACACUUGCUUUAUUUUUUAUGAGCUGACUACAAAGACAAGACCCUCAGGAACACCCAGAGACUUCUAUCACUUUAGAAACUUAAAUUGAAUCUCACUGCAGGUGAAAACAGAGGAGGCAAAAGAUCAGAAUACAUGGAUUACUGUGAUCCAGCCGUGCAAAAAAUGGAGCAUAAACCUGGCAUAGAACAAUGGCAUUUUCAGAGCAAUUACAGCAUUGAUAUGGUUGUACCUCAAGAUAUUAGUGCAGUCAUACUAGAUCACGGUGUAUCAGUCUGUUCACCAUCUUGCAAGCAUCAGAGGAUUACCCUGAGUGAUGUACUCUACUUCAGGCUACCUAUGGAGGGGUCAAUACUUUUUAAUUAUAAAGGACAAUGUGACCAAUUGCCAUCAAAUCCUUUAUGCCAAUAAGGAAUGCUGCUUUGGAGAUUCAUGUCCAAGAAAUCAAAAGGCCCUAGAACAGUGUGUUUGAUUUUAUGUUUUCAAGAUAUCCUCACAGUUUUCAAGGAGCAUUUACCUUUUACCAUGUUCUCCCUCAAGUUUACUGGAAAAAAAAAUAUUGCAAUAUUAAUUAUUGACUCUCUCAAAAGAAUAAAGCAUAAAUUAUACCAGUCAAAGCAUCUGGAAAGCUAGUUGGAAGUUGAACCCAUCAGUUCUGUAGAAAAAUUAAGCCAUUUUAACAGAGGGUUAUGGAAAUACCAGAAGACCUUAGAAAUACCCAAAGAAAAAAGAGCUACUGGAACAGCAACCAAUUUAGUGAAGAAGCCCCUCUACAACCUCACAUCUGGAGAAAUGAUAGAGGCAAGGAGAACUUCCACGUGCAAGUAGGUAAGCAGACAAAAAAAGUUUGUAUUGGAUUCACCAGCUGAUGCUGACAUUGAUAGGACAAGGGGUAAUGGCUUUAAACUGAAAGAGCGUGGAUUUAGAUUAGA
Aquila chrysaetos chrysaetos is the source of this 994-nucleotide long non-coding RNA. RefSeq lists it as uncharacterized. The record is from RefSeq and is a predicted model, not a curated record. The transcript has 3 exons. Lineage: Eukaryota; Metazoa; Chordata; Aves; Accipitriformes; Accipitridae.